RNAcentral lists this ribosomal RNA (497 nucleotides) under uncultured bacterium. Its description in RNAcentral is "partial 16S ribosomal RNA". It matches the Rfam family "Bacterial small subunit ribosomal RNA", at positions 28 to 507 of the family's 1533-position model. The record is from RNAcentral.
GAUGAACGCUGGCGGCGUGCCUAAUACAUGCAAGUCGAGCGAACAGACUAGGAGCUUGCUCCUCUGACGUUAUCGUCGGACGGGUGAGUAACACGUGGAUAACCUACCUAUAAGACUGGGAUAACUUCGGGAAACCGGAGCUAAUACCGGAUAAUAUAUUGAACCGCAUGGUUCAAUAGUGAAAGACGGUUUUGCUGUCACUUAUAGAUGGAUCCGCGCCGCAUUAGCUAGUUGGUAAGGUAAAGGAUUACCAAGGCAACGAUGCGUAGCCGACCUGAGAGGGUGAUCGGCCACACUGGAACUGAGACACGGUCCAGACUCCUACGGGAGGCAGCAGUAGGGAAUCUUCCGCAAUGGGCGAAAGCCUGACGGAGCAACGCCGCGUGAGUGAUGAAGGUCUUCGGAUCGUAAAACUCUGUUAUUAGGGAAGAACAAAUGUGUAAGUAACUAUGCACGUCUUGACGGUACCUAAUCAGAAAGCCACGGCUAACUACGUG